GUGGGAGGGGGCUUGCUCCCGAUGGCGGUGUGUCAGUCGAUGGAUGUACCAACUGACACUCCGCUAUCGGGAGCAAGCCCCCUCCCAC
This 88-nucleotide unclassified non-coding RNA is filed under the name Pseudomonas marginalis. The record is from RNAcentral. Lineage: Bacteria; Pseudomonadati; Pseudomonadota; Gammaproteobacteria; Pseudomonadales; Pseudomonadaceae.